This 274-nucleotide ribosomal RNA is filed under the name uncultured bacterium. RNAcentral's name for it is "partial 16S ribosomal RNA". It matches the Rfam family "Bacterial small subunit ribosomal RNA", at positions 523 to 796 of the family's 1533-position model. The record is from RNAcentral.
AUACGGAGGGUGCAAGCGUUAAUCGGAAUUACUGGGCGUAAAGCGUACGUAGGCGGUUCGUUAAGUUAGAUGUGAAAGCCCCGGGCUUAACCUGGGAACUGCAUUUAAAACUGGCGAACUAGAGUUGAGUAGAGGGGAGUGGAAUUUCAGGUGUAGCGGUGAAAUGCGUAGAGAUCUGAAGGAACACCAGUGGCGAAGGCGACUCCCUGGACUUGAACUGACGCUGAGGUACGAAAGCGUGGGUAGCAAACGGGAUUAGAUACCCUAGUAGUCC